CGGACGGGUGAGUAACGCGUGGGUAACCUGCCCUAUACAGGGGGAUAACAGUUAGAAAUGACUGCUAAUACCGCAUAAGCGCACAGGACCGCAUGGUUCGGUGUGAAAAACUGAGGUGGUAUAGGAUGGACCCGCGUCUGAUUAGCUUGUUGGUGGGGUAAUGGCCUACCAAGGCAACGAUCAGUAGCCGGCCUGAGAGGGUGAACGGCCACAUUGGGACUGAGACACGGCCCAAACUCCUACGGGAGGCAGCAG
This 255-nucleotide ribosomal RNA is filed under the name uncultured bacterium. RNAcentral describes it as "partial 16S ribosomal RNA". It matches the Rfam family "Bacterial small subunit ribosomal RNA", at positions 99 to 354 of the family's 1533-position model. The record is from RNAcentral.